CAGUCGCCACGGUAAUACGAAGGGUGCAAGCGUUACUCGGAGUUACUGGGCGUAAAGCGUGCGUAGGUGGUGGUUUAAGUCCGUUGUGAAAGCCCUGGGCUCAACCUGGGAAUUGCAGUGGAUACUGGGUCACUAGAGUGUGGUAGAGGAUAGUGGAAUUACCGGUGUAGCAGUGAAAUGCGUAGAGAUCGGAAGGAACAUCUGUGGCGAAGGCGACUAUCUGGGCCAACACUGACACUGAGGCACGAAAGCGUGGGGAGCAAACAGGAUUAGAUACCCCAGUAGUCCCUGUCUCUUAUAC
This 301-nucleotide ribosomal RNA is filed under the name uncultured bacterium. RNAcentral describes it as "partial 16S ribosomal RNA". It matches the Rfam family "Bacterial small subunit ribosomal RNA", at positions 509 to 807 of the family's 1533-position model. The record is from RNAcentral.